GUGGCAAUAGCUGGUUGCAUUAACGAAAAAUUAGUGUAAGAUCGACUCUGUCGAAUAAAAUUCUAGAUAGAAUUAUGAUAAUGACAUUAUCUAUCUAUGUGUCUUGACCAAAUUACGUGCCAGCAGUCGCGGUAAUACGUAAAAGACUAGUGUUAUUCAUCUUUAAUAGGUUUAAAGGGUACUAAGACGGUUUAUAAAGCCCGAAUAGGGAACUAAUAUACUAGAGUUUGAUGUAAGGAAGCAUUAAAGUACUGUUGGUGUAGAGAUAAAAUUCUAUCAUACCAAAUAUGGCACAGGUUUAGGCGAAAGCAUCUUCUUAUGUAAUAACUGACGUUGAAGGACGAAGGCUUUGUGUCUCGAACAGGAUUGGAUACCCCAGUAGUCUAAGCAGACAAUGAUGAAUGUCAUAGAUUAGAUUUAAUGAAAUUUAUUCUAUAAAUGAAAGUGUAAGCAUUCCACCUCAAGAGUAAUUUGGCAACAUUGGAACUGAAAUCAUUAGACCGUUUCUGAAACCAGUAGUGAAGUAUGUUGUUUAAUUAGAAGAUACGCAAAAAACCUUACCACAAUUUGAAUUAGUAAUAUGUUUUCACAAGCGUUGCACGGCUGUCUACAGUUAAUGUCGUGAGAUUUUGGUUAGUUCCAUUAAAUUAACGCAAACCCUUACUUUAUUUUUAAU
RNAcentral lists this ribosomal RNA (676 nucleotides) under Lecidea cancriformis. RNAcentral's name for it is "SSU rRNA". It matches the Rfam family "Bacterial small subunit ribosomal RNA", at positions 372 to 1121 of the family's 1533-position model. Lineage: Eukaryota; Fungi; Ascomycota; Lecanoromycetes; Lecideales; Lecideaceae. The record is from RNAcentral.